AUUGAACGCUGGCGGCAGGCCUAACACAUGCAAGUCGAGCGAGAGGCGGACGGGUGAGUAAUGUCUGUGAAACUGCCUGAUGGAGGGGGAUAAAUACUGGAAACGGUAGCUAAUAUCGCAUACCAUCAGAUGUGCCCAGAUGGGAUUAUCUAGUAGGUGGGGUAACGGCUCACCUAGGCGAAGAUCCCUAGCUGGUCUGAGAGGAUGAACAGCCACACUGGAACUGAGACACGGUCCAGACUCCUACGGGAGGCAGCAGUGGGGAAUAUUGCACAAUGGGCGCAAGCCUGAUGCAGCCAUGCCGCGUGUGUGAAGAAGGCCUUCGGGUUGUAAAGCACUUUCAGCGGGGAGGCGUUACCCGCAGAAGAAGCACCGGCUAACUCCGUGCCAGCAGCCGCAGUAAUUC
This 406-nucleotide ribosomal RNA is filed under the name uncultured bacterium. RNAcentral describes it as "partial 16S ribosomal RNA". It matches the Rfam family "Bacterial small subunit ribosomal RNA", at positions 30 to 526 of the family's 1533-position model. The record is from RNAcentral.